This is a long non-coding RNA of Stomoxys calcitrans (stable fly), 383 nucleotides long. RefSeq lists it as uncharacterized. Lineage: Eukaryota; Metazoa; Arthropoda; Insecta; Diptera; Muscidae. The record is from RefSeq and is a predicted model, not a curated record. The transcript is spliced from 2 exons.
AGAUAAGGCAAAAGUCUUCGAUCAAAACAAGAGUAAUGUUUAUAGUGAUAGUGAAACGGGUUGUUGGUGCUGGUCAUGCGUAUUGAUUAGGCGAUAUUAGAGUUCGUGGGUAUGCAGCCAACUUGAACACUGCAGCAGCUGGUGCGGCAUACCAACCAACGAUGGGUAUUUGCCUCCAAUUCGGAAAUAAAAUAAACGAGUCUACCUUUAUUGGAUGGCGGUGGCGAGGGCAAUGCGAUGACGAUCUGAGUUUUUUAUGGAUUACAAGCGGUCUACAAUGUAGCGAAGAUCAAUAAUCUGCUUUCGCUAAGUGUUAGUCAACAACAAUAAGAACAACCAUAAGCUAAAGUGGAAUAUUCUAAUAAACUAAAUGAGUUAACGAA